AAUCGUGAUCAGUAUACUUCGUC
This 23-nucleotide microRNA is filed under the name Caenorhabditis elegans. RNAcentral describes it as "cel-miR-795-3p". Its record names the gene cel-miR-795-3p. Lineage: Eukaryota; Metazoa; Nematoda; Chromadorea; Rhabditida; Rhabditidae. The record is from miRBase by way of RNAcentral.